GGGGCUGAUUGUGUUGCUGGUGCAUGCCGAGGUCUUCAAAACCUUCCUGAGAGGCGCGUGCCGUCUCUGCUGGGUUCGAUUCCCAGGCAGUCCC
RNAcentral lists this transfer RNA (94 nucleotides) under Heyndrickxia shackletonii. RNAcentral describes it as "Bacillus shackletonii Selenocysteine transfer RNA". It matches the Rfam family "Selenocysteine transfer RNA". Lineage: Bacteria; Bacillati; Bacillota; Bacilli; Caryophanales; Bacillaceae. The record is from Rfam by way of RNAcentral.